AAAGUCAGUUGUAGGGUUUGGAACAUGUGCAAAGCUGGAUUAUGGAUAGAGCCAGUGGGCCCAACGCCCCAGGACCUCGGACUGCCAGGGGCCUCCAAAGCCUCAGGCUGCGCACCCCAAUACUGCCAAAGUAAGCUGAACACCAGGGUCCUCACAGCACAAGGCCAGCAGACAUUCCCUCAUUUCAGUAGAAUACAAAACGAGCCGCAUUACAAAUGGCUACCCUAUGGGGUCCAAGGCAUACUCGAUCGAUCAUGACGCAGGCCCUGAACAUGAGUGCGUGACAGCGCGAGAGACGCGACGUGAGGGCCGGGAAGCGUGAGCACUAGAUGGAGACAGG
Non-coding RNA from Pimephales promelas (fathead minnow), 340 nucleotides. The record is from RefSeq and is a predicted model, not a curated record. Lineage: Eukaryota; Metazoa; Chordata; Actinopteri; Cypriniformes; Leuciscidae.